Molecule: ribosomal RNA, 465 nt
Filed under: uncultured bacterium
Lineage: Bacteria
Description: partial 16S ribosomal RNA
Rfam family: Bacterial small subunit ribosomal RNA
Source: RNAcentral
CCUACGGGAGGCAGCAGUAGGGAAUCUUCCACAAUGGGCGAAAGCCUGAUGGAGCAACGCCGCGUGGGUGAAGAAGGUCCUCGGAUCGUAAAACCCUGUUGUUAGAGAAGAAAGUGCGUGAGCGUAACUGUUCACGUUUCGACGGUAUCUAACCAGAAAGCCACGGCUAACUACGUGCCAGCAGCCGCGGUAAUACGUAGGUGGCAAGCGUUAUCCGGAUUUAUUGGGCGUAAAGGGAACGCGGGCGGUCUUUUAAGUCUGAUGGGAAAGCCUUCGGCUUAACCGGAGUAGUGCAUUGGAAACUGGGAGACUUGAGUGCAGAAGAGGAGAGUGGAACUCCGUGUGUAGCGGUGAAAUGCGUAGAUAUAUGGAAGAACACCAGUGGCGAAAGCGGCUCUCUGGUCUGUAACUGACGCUGAGGUUCGAAAGCGUGGGUAGCAAACAGGAUUAGAUACCCCUGUAGUC